UCCAAUGAAUAUAGAAGAUUUUCACUGGUACCUGGCAGUUCUGAAUGCAAAAAAAAGUGAGGUACAUGUACUCGAUUCUAUGGGACAACAAAUAACGGAUCGCCGAGACCUUUAUACUACAUUAAAAGGUCUAGAAAGACAGAUUAAACUUGCAGCAAAACAUAAAGAGCUUUACCAAGGCAAGUGGUCGAACCUUGAUGUUGCAUCAUGGCCAGUUAUAGAGAAGAUCACAACACAAAUGCAAACCGAUGGGGUAUCUUGCGGGCUAUGGAUGAUAAACUAUAUGGAAUACUGGACAGGAUCCUCCCUAUCUGAUAACGUAACUCAGGU
Molecule: long non-coding RNA, 330 nt
Organism: Zea mays
Lineage: Eukaryota; Viridiplantae; Streptophyta; Magnoliopsida; Poales; Poaceae
Exons: 3
Source: RefSeq, a predicted model, not a curated record